CCCCGACAAGGGCAAACCCAUCGAAAGGUGGGGGCGCAAAGCUAUAGGGUCUAAGGCCAGAUGUUUCUGGCUAUGACAGCCAGCUGCCGUG
This 91-nucleotide non-coding RNA is filed under the name Thermanaeromonas toyohensis. RNAcentral describes it as "c-di-GMP sequence". It matches the Rfam family "c-di-GMP-I riboswitch aptamer". From Rfam's summary of the family: GEMM was predicted in a large-scale screen for bacterial structured RNA regulatory elements. Genes associated with GEMM are involved in a diverse array of functions, including chemotaxis regulation, signal transduction, secretion and chitin. The record is from RNAcentral. RNAcentral also lists the same sequence under 1 other name. Lineage: Bacteria; Bacillati; Bacillota; Clostridia; Neomoorellales; Neomoorellaceae.